This 292-nucleotide ribosomal RNA is filed under the name uncultured bacterium. RNAcentral's name for it is "partial 16S ribosomal RNA". The record is from RNAcentral.
GGACUACAAGGGUAUCUAAUCCUGUUUGCUCCCCACGCUUUCGUGUUUCAACGUCAGGAAUGGACUAAGAAGCUGCCUUCGCCAUUGGUGUUCCUCUCGAGAUCUACGCAUUUUACCGCUACUCCGAGAAUUCCACUUCUCUCUUCCACCCUCUAGCAUGUUAGUUUCCACUGCAGGCCUCCAGUUAGGCUGGAGAAUUUAACAACAGACUUAACACACCGUCUACACACCCUUUACGCCCAAUGAUUCCGAAUAACGCUUGCACCCUUCGUAUUACCGCGGCUGCUGGCAC